UCGUGGCGCCGCCUGGGGGUCCCUGCGCCCCGGAAAGAGACAGCAGGCACUGGAAAGCGAGGCCGGUGGGCGGGCGAGUCGGGAGGCUCGGGCGGCCGAGGUCCGGGAGCGGAUCCCAGGUGGCGGGAGCUGUUGCCACGCUGGCUCCCACCGGCCUCUUUCCAGAUCAUGAAGAUAUUUUUCCUUCAUGAAAUUGAGAGGAAGUCCGUAGUAAAUCUGCCCGUUGACCAGGUAGUGCCAAGAGAAUCGGUGCCCUGGCAGGAGGGACUGGCUUACGCCACCCUGUGCAGGAUCAUCUUCUCAGCUUACAGAGCCUAGUGUGAUUCAACAACCCUCCAUCUCUGCCCCCAACAUGCCCAACUGAUCUGGUGGAGGGAACUGAAGAUGAAGGCCUCUCAGGCACCAUGGAUGGGAUGGGUGUGUGUGAAGGGGGCAGGGUCCCCAGGAGCUGCCCCAGGUCUGGCUGGACAGUUGCACGGGAAGUCCUGUUUGUGAACUCAACGUUUCCAUGGCUUUUCCAUUAAACUUUACCCCAAAUC
Molecule: non-coding RNA, 539 nt
Filed under: Pan troglodytes (chimpanzee)
Lineage: Eukaryota; Metazoa; Chordata; Mammalia; Primates; Hominidae
Source: RNAcentral